GGGGCCGACUGGUUUCGACAGCAAGAUGAAUGAAUGUGUAAGCAGGCCGAGCGUUGAGUGAGUGGCUCGGAAAUCUCAACACUAACUUUGCUAAAUGGCGACAACAAUUAUGCGCUUGCGGCUUAAGACUCGAUAGAGAUUAAACCUAAUUCUUGGCACUAGGUGCCAGAACAAGCUAUCUCGCAGGGGUUCUGCUCAAUAAUACCCUGGGUACGAGGUAUCAGCAUUUUGGGCUAGUCAGGUAGGCACCUUAACUGCUUGGCGAAACUAAAAAGGUUAAGGUAAGUGUAGGGCGUUGAUCCCCGGCAUUUAUUCGAAAACCAACGAUUGACUAAGCUUGUAGAAAGCAUGUUGAUUCCUUGUUUGGACGAGGGUUCGAAUCCCUCCGGCUCCACA
This 396-nucleotide transfer-messenger RNA is filed under the name marine eukaryotic metagenome. It matches the Rfam family "transfer-messenger RNA". Rfam says of the family: Bacterial tmRNA, also known as 10Sa RNA or SsrA, is named for its dual tRNA and mRNA-like properties. Its role is to liberate the mRNA from a stalled ribosome. The record is from RNAcentral.